UACGUAGGGGGCAAGCGUUGUCCGGAUUCAUUGGGCGUAAAGAGCGUGUAGGCGGCGAGGUAGGUCGGUUGUGAAAACUGGAGGCUCAACCUUCAGAGGUCGACCGAAACCAUCUGGCUAGAGUCCGGGAGAGGAGAGUGGAAUUCCUGGUGUAGCGGUGAAAUGCGCAGAUAUCAGGAAGAACACCCGUGGCGAAAGCGGCUCUCUGGAACGGUACUGACGCUGAGACGCGAAAGCGUGGGGAGCGAACAGG
RNAcentral lists this ribosomal RNA (253 nucleotides) under uncultured bacterium. RNAcentral's name for it is "partial 16S ribosomal RNA". It matches the Rfam family "Bacterial small subunit ribosomal RNA", at positions 524 to 776 of the family's 1533-position model. The record is from RNAcentral.